RNAcentral lists this ribosomal RNA (413 nucleotides) under uncultured bacterium. RNAcentral describes it as "partial 16S ribosomal RNA". It matches the Rfam family "Bacterial small subunit ribosomal RNA", at positions 505 to 916 of the family's 1533-position model. The record is from RNAcentral.
GUGUCAGCAGCCGCUGUAAGACGGACCGGUCGAACGUUAUUCGGAAUCACUGGGCUUAAAGAGUGCGUAGGCGGUCUUGCAGGUGAGGUGUGAAAUCCCCCGGCCCAACCGGGGAACUGCGCUUCAAACCGCAAGGCUUGAGGGAGAUAGAGGUGAGCGGAACUGAUGGUGGAGCGGUGAAAUGCGUUGAUAUCAUCACGAACACCCGUGGCGAAAGCGGCUCACUGGGUCUCUUCUGACGCUGAGGCACGAAAGCUAGGGUAGCGAACAGGAUUAGAUACCCUGGUAGUCCUAGCUGUAAACGAUGAGCACUUGUUCGGGGGGACCUCCACAUCUUCUCGGACGUAGCGAAAGUGUUAAGUGCUCCGCCUGGGGAGUAUGGUCGCAAGGCUGAAACUCAAAUAAAUUGACGG